RNAcentral lists this ribosomal RNA (497 nucleotides) under uncultured bacterium. RNAcentral's name for it is "partial 16S ribosomal RNA". It matches the Rfam family "Bacterial small subunit ribosomal RNA", at positions 28 to 507 of the family's 1533-position model. The record is from RNAcentral.
GACGAACGCUGGCGGCGUGCCUAAUACAUGCAAGUAGAACGCUGAAGAGAGGAGCUUGCUCUUCUUGGAUGAGUUGUGAACGGGUGAGUAACGCGUAGGUAACCUGCCUUGUAGCGGGGGAUAACUAUUGGAAACGAUAGCUAAUACCGCAUAACAAUGGAUGACACAUGUCAUUUAUUUGAAAGGGGCAAUUGCUCCACUACAAGAUGGACCUGCGUUGUAUUAGCUAGUAGGUGAGGUAACGGCUCACCUAGGCGACGAUACAUAGCCGACCUGAGAGGGUGAUCGGCCACACUGGGACUGAGACACGGCCCAGACUCCUACGGGAGGCAGCAGUAGGGAAUCUUCGGCAAUGGGGGCAACCCUGACCGAGCAACGCCGCGUGAGUGAAGAAGGUUUUCGGAUCGUAAAGCUCUGUUGUAAGUCAAGAACGAGUGUGAGAGUGGAAAGUUCACACUGUGACGGUAGCUUACCAGAAAGGGACGGCUAACUACGUG